Long non-coding RNA from Gymnodraco acuticeps, 819 nucleotides. RefSeq lists it as uncharacterized. NCBI's taxonomy places the organism in Eukaryota, Metazoa, Chordata, Actinopteri, Perciformes, Bathydraconidae. The record is from RefSeq and is a predicted model, not a curated record. The transcript has 2 exons.
CUGCUGCCGGCAUGGCUUCUUGUAUGACACACUAUUAUUUUAACAUUAUAAAUCACAACAACUUGAGAUCAAAGCCGUGUUCUAUGUAUAUCAAGAGAAAAACCCCACCAGGAGCAGGGUGUGAAACAUGGGAAGAAGGUUGAUCACCAAAAGGCAGAGAGGAGGACAUGCAGCGAGGAGCAGGGGAGAAGAGAGCCGGCAGCAGGGGGAAUCCCUCUGCAUGAUGUGGAGCUGUCACUAUGAUUUUAUGGCUGUACAUGACCGUGCUCUGGAAGUUAAUCCCAUGCCUUUCGCCACCGCACCUUAACUUUUCCCUGACCCGAGCAGAAGCAGAGAGUCGAGUGGGAACUUAUUUUGGGAUCGCAAACAAGGAGACGAUGGAAACCAUGAGGCCCUCAGCUGGUAGUCUACUUUUUUCACAUUUGCCCUUUCCUCAAAAGUAAUAGUUGAGCAAUUAUGUUUUUAAGUUUAAACUUUGUUUUGCAUGAAACAAAUGUAGAGUUAUUUACACAAAUCAAGGUUCCUGAUCACUGUCAGCGAAGAGGAGUUAGAGGCGCAGACCUCUGGAUGUUGGCCAGACGGCGGUCCAUAUCUUCCCACAAUGUUGACACUCGGAGCUCUUAACAGCCAGGCUUGGGUUACGGAUACACUCAGACAAAGAUAACUCUUUCUGCGAGGUUUACAUCGGCCAGUAUCAAGGCUAAUGCGAAAUGCAACGCCUUAAGCAAACUUGGAAACAUCGCUCAUGAAGGCAGACUGACUAGGACAACUUAAUUGUUUGCGUAAAGGUGGUUGUAAUAAAGCAAUUUUCAUGUUGAA